Molecule: transfer RNA, 73 nt
Filed under: Cordylochernes scorpioides
Lineage: Eukaryota; Metazoa; Arthropoda; Arachnida; Pseudoscorpiones; Chernetidae
Description: tRNA-Thr
Source: RNAcentral
GUCCAGGGAUGGGAAUCGAACCCACAGUGUUCAGCUUACCAGACAGAUGCCAUGUCCACUAGGCUACCCUGGA